UACGAAGGGGGCUAGCGUUGUUCGGAAUCACUGGGCGUAAAGCGCACGUAGGCGGAUUUGUCAGUCAGGGGUGAAAUCCCGGGGCUCAACCUCGGAACUGCCUUUGAUACAGCAAGUCUUGAGUUCGAGAGAGGUGGGAGGAAUUCCUAGUGUAGAGGUGAAAUUCGUAGAUAUUAGGAAGAACACCGGUGGCGAAGGCGGCCCACUGGCUCGAUACUGACGCUGAGGUGCGAAAGCGUGGGGAGCAAACAGG
Molecule: ribosomal RNA, 253 nt
Filed under: uncultured bacterium
Lineage: Bacteria
Description: partial 16S ribosomal RNA
Rfam family: Bacterial small subunit ribosomal RNA
Source: RNAcentral